CUGCUGCCUCCCGUAGGAGUUUGGGCCGUGUCUCAGUCCCAAUGUGGCCGUCCACCCUCUCAGGCCGGCUACUGAUCGUCGCCUUGGUGGGCCUUUACCCCGCCAACCAGCUAAUCAGACGCGGGUCCAUCCCAUACCACCUUGGUUUUCAAACAAAAAGCAUGCGCUUUCUGUUGUUAUGCGGUAUUAGCACCUAUUUCUAAGUGUUAUCCCCCUGUACUGGGCCAGGUUACCCACGCGUUACUCACCCGUCCGCCACUAAGCCUUUCCCUUUCCG
Molecule: ribosomal RNA, 277 nt
Filed under: uncultured bacterium
Lineage: Bacteria
Description: partial 16S ribosomal RNA
Source: RNAcentral